This 484-nucleotide ribosomal RNA is filed under the name uncultured bacterium. RNAcentral's name for it is "partial 16S ribosomal RNA". It matches the Rfam family "Bacterial small subunit ribosomal RNA", at positions 30 to 507 of the family's 1533-position model. The record is from RNAcentral.
AUUGAACGCUGGCGGCAUGCCUAACACAUGCAAGUCGAGCGGUUGAAGGAGGCUUUCUCUUGUAUUCAGCGGCUUACGGGUGGGUAAUGCCUACGAAUCUGCCUUGUAUUGUGGGAUAACGUCAGUAAACGGGCCCUAAUACCGCAUACGUUCUGAGUGAGUGACUGGUGUAUCUUCUUAGCUCACGCUAUUAGAUCAACCUAGGUGGGAUUAGCUAGUUGGUGGGGUAAUGGCCUACGAAGUCGACGAUCUGUAACUGGUCUGAUAGGAGGAUCAGUCACACUGGAACUGAGACACGGUCAAGACUCCUACGGGAGGAAGCAGUGGGGAAUAUUGGAAAAUGGGCGAACGCCUGAUCCAGAAAUGCGGCGUGUGUGAAGAAGGUCUUCGGAUUGUAAAGCACGUUGAGUUGGGAGGACGGGCAGUAAGUUAAUACCUUGCUGUUGUGACGUUAGCAAAAGAAUAAGCGACGGCUAACUUCGUG